UUCUUUUCCCUCUUCCCAAAUAGAACAUCUUCAUAAAUUGGAUUUGAUGAUAAUAGGAGGCAUAUGCCACCCGAUAAUUUAUUGCAAGAUAAAAGUUGAACUUACAGUGUUCAUGCUGUGCGCCAUUAGAGGAUGUGGUCCCAACAAUGCAUACACGUCAGCUUAGGAAUUACAUGUAGAAUAAGAUAGUUUACAUUGCUCAUGCAACAUUUACGAGAAAGUGCUUGCUUAAGUUACAAGCAUUUGCAUAGGCUCAUCUCCUCUUUCUUUUUUUAUGGUUGUGGAAAAAUAUAUUUUUCAAGCUUCACCUUGCACUUAGAACCCCUAGCAUUUUGUCUACAGUGCUUUGUAUUUCUUUUAGUGCCAUGAAGAACCGUGGCUUGUUUGUUUCGGAGGUUAUUGAUAUCUAACUUUCAAAUAAAAACAAAGCUUCCUUAAGCACCAAUAUGGGAGCAUUUGCUUGGAAUUGGAAGACUUUUUUGUUUCUUUCUUUCCAUAUGCUCCAGAUAAUUGUUGCAAUUAAAGAAUUAUGUACUGAUCUUAAGCUUUGCUCUUUGUCUUUUCUCCUUUUUAUAGUCCACCACUUAUCUAGGAAAGUUAGGAUGUAGGAAUUUCUCAUUUUCACAUAAGCUUUGCUCUUUGCCUUUUCUCCUUUUUAUAGUCCACCACUUAUCUAGGAAAGUUAGGAUGUAGGAAUUUCUCAUUUUCACAUAAAUUGGAUUUGUAAAUUCACCAAAAAUGCUAUGAUUCUUCUUCUACAUCCCUUCAUCUUGUAGUUGUACUAUAAUCCCUGAUAGGUUCAAAAUAGUAGGUCCCUCUCAAGGACCUCUAAGCUUAUGGAGGUAGAACAAAAUGAUGAAGAUUCAGAGUUUAUACAGCUAGUUAGGGAUCAAGAGCAACCAAAGGACCACAUUAUUGAAGACACUACAGAAGUGAACCCUAGACACUCAAAAUAUCCUAGUUGAUAAAGAUAUAAAUUAACUCCUCAACUAAGCAAGGAUUUGAUCACAUUCUUGCAUGCAAAAGAUGUCUGUGCCUAGUCUUAUUCUCAUAUGCAGGCCUUGAUCUAGAGAUCGCAAUACAUCACCUCCUAAUCGAACCAAGUCCUAGGCCAGUUCGAGGAAACUAAAAAAGCUACAACAAGAAUUGGCUUUAAAGAUGGAAGUAAUGAUUUGCACGUUGGAUUUCUAUAGGUUAUUAAUUACCUUGACUAGAUGAUGAAUGUUGUCCUAGUCAUCAAGAAGAAUAAAUCUAUUAUGACCUACUGAUUUUCAUGAUCUGAACAAGCUAGCCCAAAGGAUGAGUUUCUCUUAGCUAUCAUUGACUUGCUUGUGAACAGCACUACAACAUUCAUCAAAGAACAGACCUAAGUUGGGUUCUAAAGGUAUUAAAUCCAUUUUCCUUAGAUAUUCUAGAAAUAGUAAAACUUAUAGAUUUUUGAGUAUCAAUUCUGUACUAGAAACUAUGCAUGCUGAAUUCUUUGAAAGUCUAACUAAAAAAGAUGCUAGUUCUUUGGAACUAGAAAAUGAUGCAGCCAAUGAAAUAGAAGAAUCUCAAGAUAUUGUAGAACAAAUUCAGGUUGAAAAUAACAAAUAUAAUAGAAUUGACCAAGAAUAGUCAAAUUUAGAAUCUCAUAAUGAACCUUAGUUAAGAAGUAAUAAAAGAAAAGGGAUUAAAAAGACCUAGGGCCAGAUAUACUGAAUUUUCUAAUAAAUGAAAUCCUAAAAUAUAUUCUGAACCUAAGUCAUCACACGAUGCUAGCUUAUGGCCAUGAAUGAUGAGAUAAAAUCUAUGACAUGAAAUAAUAUUUGGACAUUAGUGGAUUUAUCACCCAGUACUAUGUUUUUCGGUUGCAAGUGGAUUUUAAAGAAGUAUGAAGUCAAUAGUUGGGUAGAUAAAUAUAGAGCAAGAUUGGAUGUCAACACUUAUAAGUAAAGGAAGACUUAGAUUAUUUUGAAAGGUUUUCUUCUCAUUUCUAGAAUGAGUUUUAUUAAACUAUUACUUGCUCUUAUUUCAAUUUAUUGAUUUGAAGUAUACCAAGUGGAUGUUAAAAAAAUUUUCUUGAUGGAAUACUAAACUUAGAAAUUUAUGUUCAUCUACUGUGGAGGGUAAAGCUGGUCAAAGGUCGGGCCAUGACACUAUACUAUAUUCACUUUUAGUCAGGGUUAAGGCUGGGCCUACUUAAAAUUUGACAUUUUAUAUACCCAACACUAGCCCAGAAUCAGCUCUAUGUGAGGGGUACUUUGAGGAGGGCCUAGAAUAUGAAGUGUAGAAAUUGAAUGUGUCUUUUUAUGGUCUUAAACAAUCUCCUAGGCAAUAGUAAAAGAAAAUUUUGUUUUAAAAGUAAUAAAGCAAAAAAGUAUGAUUUUAGUGAAGUUAGUAAUACUUAUAAAGUUCUUAUGGCUAUUUAUGUUGAAGUUUUGCUUAUUGUUGGUACUAAUAUGAAAUUAAAGAUUUAGCUCCUAUGUUGACAUGAUAUUAAGAAUAAAGAUGAUUAAGAAAAAUUGUAUAUGCACUCUCACUCCAUCAUGUUAUAUUGAAAAG
RNAcentral lists this long non-coding RNA (2544 nucleotides) under Elaeis guineensis (African oil palm). RNAcentral's name for it is "long non-coding RNA (EGUI_LNC078618)". The record is from RNAcentral. Lineage: Eukaryota; Viridiplantae; Streptophyta; Magnoliopsida; Arecales; Arecaceae.